GACGAACGCUGGCGGCGUGCCUAAUACAUGCAAGUAGAACGCUGAAGGAGGAGCUUGCUUCUCUGGAUGAGUUGCGAACGGGUGAGUAACGCGUAGGUAACCUGCCUGGUAGCGGGGGAUAACUAUUGGAAACGAUAGCUAAUACCGCAUAAUAGCAGUUAUUGCAUGAUAACUGUUUGAAAGGUGCAAUUGCACCACUACCAGAUGGACCUGCGUUGUAUUAGCUAGUUGGUGGGGUAACGGCUCACCAAGGCGACGAUGCAUAGCCGACCUGAGAGGGUGAUCGGCCACACUGGGACUGAGACACGGCCCAGACUCCUACGGGAGGCAGCAGUAGGGAAUCUUCGGCAAUGGACGGAAGUCUGACCGAGCAACGCCGCGUGAGUGAAGAAGGUUUUCGGAUCGUAAAGCUCUGUUGUAAGAGAAGAACGAGUGUGAGAGUGGAAAGUUCACACUGUGACGGUAUCUUACCAGAAAGGGACGGCUAACUACGUG
This 495-nucleotide ribosomal RNA is filed under the name uncultured bacterium. RNAcentral's name for it is "partial 16S ribosomal RNA". It matches the Rfam family "Bacterial small subunit ribosomal RNA", at positions 28 to 507 of the family's 1533-position model. The record is from RNAcentral.